AGACUUCCGCGUCCCCCGCGGCGCUCUCCCGCGUCCCCUUGGAGAUCGCUCCGGGGUGGCGGGGACAGCUGGUGCUUUUCUUGUCUGUUGUAAACUUUGGUUCGUUAUUAUUAUAUUAGGUAAAGCUGGUCUUAUGUAUUAAUUUGUUUAACCAUUAAAAAUAAUUGUAUUGCACAAGCAGGCCCCUUUGUCCGUUCUCGGGUUAAAAGCCUCUGGCUGUGUGUGCGAUUCAUGGUUAAUUCUGGAAAAAAAGAGAAAAGUAUACUGUAUUUAAAAGAAUUUUUAAAAUAUACCGAGCCUGUGGAUUUAUCAAGUUGCUUUUUGAGGUAGGCAGGAGGAUCACUGGAAGUCGGGAGUUCGAGACCAGCCUGGCCAAAAUGGUGAAACCCCGUCUACAGUAAAAAUACAAAAAUUAGCCAGGUGUGGUGGCGCAUGCCUGUAAUCCCAGCUACUCAGGGAGGCUGAGGCAGGAGAAUCGCUUGAACCAGGGAGGCAGAGGUUGCAGUGAGCCGAGAUCGCGCCAUCACACCUGAGCGGCAGAGCGAGACUCUGUCUCAAAAAAAAAAAAAGACAAAAAUUUGGAUAUAGUAGCAUUGGCCAUUAUUAUCAAGAUGACAAAAUGUUUUCUGGAAUGAAAAAGUUUCAUGCAAAGAUAUACUUUUCACCCACCUAGUUUAGUUUUCAAAAACGCUAGGAAAGAGCAUAUACCAAUGAAGUAUUUCUCAUGGGUAAUAUUAAAGUUGCUCAUUUUGUAAAUUGGAAUGGUUUUGGUUCCAAGUCACAGAAAACCCAACUCUUACGUCCUGAAACAAAUGGGCUUUACCGGGUGACAUCACUAGAAGUCCAAAGGUAAGACAGGCUUCAAGGUUAGUUUAAUUGAGAGGCUUGAUGAGGCAAACAAGUACCUCAUUUCUUUUUACCUCAGAUUCAUGUUUUCUACCUUGGCCUCUUCUCUACGUAGGGCUGCGGGCCCGUAUCUGAAACAUUAACAACCAUCAGGAAUGAGGUUGGUCUGGUUAGCUUAGGCCUGAAUCGUGUGCCCCACUUACUUUUCUUUUUUUCUUUUUUUUUUUUUUUUUGGAGACGGAGUCUCAUUGCACUCUCGCCCAGGCUGGAGUGCAGUGGUACCAUCUCGGCUCACUGCAACCUCUGCCUCCCGGGUUCAAGUGAUUCUUCUGCCUCAGCCUCCCAAGUAUCUGGGACUACAGGCACGUGCCACCACGCCAGGCUAAUUUUUGUAUUUUUAGUAGAGAUGGGGUUUCACCAUAUUGGCCAGGCUGAUCUCGAACUCCUGACCUUGUGAUCUGCCUGCCUCGGCCUCCCAAAGUGCUGGGAUUACAGGCGUGAGCCACCGCGCCUGGCCCUGUGUGCCCCACUUCUAUCCGGAGUAGAGACAUAUUUUUUCAAAGCACACAGGCCUUGUGGAAAGGUGUGGAGAACAGUAAAUGACAACAAUAACAACAAAUUGUGAAUCAUUAACAAGAGGAGUGGGAGUGGAUGCUUGGGAGGCCACCUCUACCGUCUUUUUUUUUUCUUUUUUCCCUUUCCUAUGGUGCUGAACCACCUAUAUCUUCAUUACACCCUCUGUAAUGAGGAUAUGUGUAUACCAAACCACAUGUGUAGGUCAACCCCCUCGUCCAAUUCCACACACUUCUAUACAAAGUAAAUAUUUCCUCACAUAGUAAAUCAAUAUUUGAGAAAGGAGACUUUACAAUUAAAUAGCUGCUCUAGGCUAAAUUAGUUUUUCAGUCUCCACACUGUUCCUAAUGAAGAAGACAUGUCAGCUGAACUAGUUUAGUCCAUUAAGUGCACACCUGUUCGUGUGAGUGCAACAUGGUUUUGAAAUCACUUCAGUUUUAAUGCUCCGGAAACAUCACUUCUCGUUUAAAAGGAUACUUGAAGCGCUCUCACAAACUGCUGGUAGGCAUGAAAACAUACGGUCUUUUUGGAAAGGAAUUUGGCAAUAUCU
Molecule: long non-coding RNA, 1969 nt
Filed under: Homo sapiens (human)
Lineage: Eukaryota; Metazoa; Chordata; Mammalia; Primates; Hominidae
Description: non-protein coding lnc-ACTR3B-6:1
Source: RNAcentral